This is a long non-coding RNA of Peromyscus leucopus (white-footed mouse), 5123 nucleotides long. RefSeq lists it as uncharacterized. The transcript has 3 exons. The record is from RefSeq and is a predicted model, not a curated record. NCBI's taxonomy places the organism in Eukaryota, Metazoa, Chordata, Mammalia, Rodentia, Cricetidae.
AAACCAUAAAACUAACUUUAUGGACCUCACGUGACUUUCUCGAGCCAGUGAGGGGUAUCUGUCUGACUUCUCGGCGAUUUUUACGAUCUAACUUCGAGAUAAAACCCCUAUCCAUUUGACAUCUAAAUGUCAUAGCGACUUUUGGGAUAGUUUGCUCUCGGUAAAGGGGGACACAGUCAUGGGGUGAGAGGGAAGGAGGGCCCAAUACACCCUCCAAGACCCUCGCCAUCUCCUCACCGGCUCCCCCUCCCCCCAGGUCCUGUAAGAAGUUGGGCCCAGCUGGAAGGGAUUGACCGGGUUGCCUGUCUGGAGAUGGAGCCACUAUGGGCAGGACCAGGGCGCCUGGAGUCCAGCAUGAAAGGAAAUAGCGCCUCAUCGCUCUUAUCUAAGCCCAGAGUCUGCAGUCCCGUGGGUAAGCACGCACAUUCCAGCUCCCAGAGAAAUGUUGCCUAAGUCAUGUGCAGCUCAGGAGUGAAAAUCUCCAGAAGGUGAUGGUUUUAGGAAUGGCAUUUGCCUGUAUGAGGAGGAGGUGAGACAUUAGCUAGGCUCCCUAUGUCCUCUAAGAUACAAAGCUCUCCCCUCCCAGGUCCUUGAUAGUGGGUACCUUCUCCUAUCCCACCAAUUGUACCUGGGGUGGGGCGGAUGAAAAUCUCUCAAACCCAAUUCUCCUCCUGGAUUCUGGCUGUCUGAAAUGUUCCCCAGUGGGGCAAUGUAGUGGCUCCCACAGACUGGAAAGAGGCUCUUUGCUUGGACACCCUGCCCUAAAAUCGACUAGUCCAAAUCGAGGUACAAAGACCUCAUUUCCAUUAUGCAAAUGAGCGGCAUCCUCUCUGAUCUUCUAGGAGUAGUGGGAGAGCCUUCGCCCCACCACCCCCCACCCCUCCCGGUUCACCCUUACCCUAAGAGCCCCGAAGUGUUUCAAGCCUCUGUAGUAGCUUGAUUUCCCUUCCCUACAUUUCCUUCUGAUUGCUCAAAGGAAAAAAAAAAUUUAGGAGGGCCUCAGACCUGCCUGCCAGAUCCCUCGGGGCCUCCCGCAGAGCGACUCACUGAGCCUGGCCAUCCAGCCGCCAGAAAGUCACUCUCUCGAAGCAGAAGGGGGAAAAGCUUAAAGAUCUGCUUCAGAGAGAGGCUCAGACUCUAGAGUCGUCUAGGGCGCGGGGGGGGGGGGGUUCCCCCGGCACUACAGGGCCUCUAGACCCACAGCUCCCAGCCAGACCUUAGUAACACCUUGGCCAGCCCAGCACGGCAGGCAAUUUCCUGGAGCCCCCGCCCAGGAACGGGGGCCACCGCACCUUGAAAGGGGCAGCCAGCGCUUCCUUUUGCGGCUUGAAAGCCCGAGCUAAUCAGUAACCGGUGAGACCGGGGCCAAGACUCCAAUACCGAGGCGGAGGAGGCGCGCACCCAGCCCUUACCACCCCCUUCUGGGAAAGCGGUUCCGUUAACCGGGUGUGAGGGGUCCCACAGGAUCGGAAAUUACAGAGGUUUUGGUUCUUUGAUGGUUUCUCGUCACUCCCGAUUUUCCACCAAAGCAUUUUUUUUUUUUUUUUGCGUCGAUUUCGCUUGAAACGAUCCAGAUUGGGGGAGGGGACCAACACUCCCUUGCAGACACCAACAGUUUCCAGAAAACUCAGUUCAACUCCUUCACCACGGGCUCGCCAGCUUAGGAAUUGGCAAGAGCCACAAACCAACUGGAAGAACACAGACUGGGUUUGUCUUUUAACAACCGAGUGGAACCUGCCUGGUCGGCGCCUCCCCUGACUGCCCCCCCCCCCUUUUGGCUGAGAAGAAAACUAAAUAAACCUUGAACAGAUUUUGGCCUCACAUCUCUCCAGCUGCCCAAUCCUGUCUCGUGUCUUAGGUGGUGGUGGUGUGGGGGGGUCGUGGGUCUGAACCCUUAACCCUUUGGUUCAGUACCCCCUGUCCGUGGGUUACAGUAUUACUCCUCUCUCGACAUCUGCCUCUUCCUCUGCCAGCCUCCAGGUUUGUGGCUGGGAUCUCUGCAGGAGAUGGGAGAAGGUUGAGGAGAACGUGACAAGAGACUCGUUCCGUUUUCUAAUCUCCACCCGGGGACUAAGAUGCAGUAGAGAGCAUCAGCAUGGGCCGGAUCCCACCGAACCGAACCGCGCGGCCCGGGCUCCAAGCAAACCCGCAGGGGUUGGGGAGUGUCGAGAGGCUAGCUGUGCCGAAGCCGCCUGUCCCCGAACGGACGGUAGAUGGCAGCAAACUGCAUAAUUUGGGUCAGAGGAAAUUGUCUAAGGGACGAUUUAUAAUCCACCAAGACUAGAGGGGGAAAAGACCUUUACUUUGACUGGGUUUGGGGGGAUUUUUCCCGUCGCGAAUAGGGUCCGAGCGUCUUAGGUGCUAGCGAUGAAUUCCUCUUGCUAAGAAGCCGAUGUGUUUCAGUAUGGCCAGUCCAGGCCUGUGUCUAGAGCUGUUUAUCUGGCCCCCCAAGGGAGCCCCAGUCCUGUGCCACAAGUGGCUGAGUUUCCUUUUCCUAAUAGCUCUGGAGACCAAACCAGCCACACACUUGCCCCAGGAUCCUAAAAUCCUAGACAACCAGAAGCCUGAGCCUGAACGACCUGCAGGCUUUUAAGAAACAGAAAGGCAGUCGAUAUCUGUUCAUGCAAACCAAACUAAAUCACAAUGUCUCCUGUCCUACGUGCCCAAAGUGCCGCACCUUUCUGCGUAUAGCUUCCCUCGAGACCCUUCACCCCAUUUCUUAGCCCUCGCCAGCUGGCCUGAACCCUAAGAGCUUCUUUAAGAAUCUGUCUCAUAUUCAGCAGCUCUUCCCCCUCCCCCAUCCCCAGGAAGCUAGGGAACAAAAUUGGGCGGUGCGAGACGGGAGGACUUAGCUCUGGACUCAGCCUCCGGAGGCUUUUUUAGCACACACCAUUGGAUUUUCUAGUUAAGUUUCCUUUUUGUUUUGUGUUUCUCGCCCCCCCCCACACACACCAAAUUUAUUUUUGUGUAUAAACCAAAAACAGCAUGCUAAAAUCAUUUCACAGCCACCACAUUUGAAUCCAGGAAAGUUUGAAAUGCUUCCAUAUCAGAUAUGCAAUUUUCUCCACCAAAAUCCACACACCCUAUACCGAUUAAAAACACAAGCAACAGAUCUACCAACACCGAGACCGACAGACUUUAACCUACCGCAUGAAAAACCACACAACUCUUUCCCUGCAGACGAGGCUCCCUCGGGCGGGCGGCGGGGGUGAGCAAGAGACCUGGGCGUUCCUCGGCUAGAUUCCUGGGGAGUCUCCCUGGCUUUGGGUUCCUUCACCCACAACCCUUAGAUUUCAGAAAUGUCUCCGAGGGAAGAUAGCGAACAUUUCUCUGUGAAUUGUUCUUUUUUAUGUCACCCUAGCCGCCUCCUUGCCCUCGGCUGGCCUCUGCGGAGAUUCCAGGCCCCACUGAGACCAGGACGUCCCUCAGCGCCACCGCCCCGUGCCAAUGCAGCCAGGAAAUCGCCGUUACCCACACUGGGCAAGAGAACCGCGUGGGGGCAAUCGGGGGGGGGGGCAGGAACGGGGAGAGAUGGAGGAGGGAGGUGAGCACAAACCCCACCAGGGCCAGAGCGACUGGCCAGCUCGGCUGCCGCCCAGACACCCCCACCCUCUCUUUCGCAGCCCCCCUGGCUGGAGCUCUCUCCCAGCUAAAAAGGCGGCGUAAAACUGGCCUCCGAGGCCCCUUUCCGUUCCUCCCCCCGCACCUUCCCUGCAGCGGCUCCCCCUCCAGGAAGCAGCCACCCCUCUCUUUACCACAGAAUUUCCUGGGAAGCUUCUCCCAGCAUCGCCCAGAGGUGGGGUUCAACCCGGUCUUGGGAUAGGGGGAGGGGGGAGAAAAACCUAAGCCCCACCCCCUCCAAAAACCGAUGCAAAAGAAUAAGAAUUGUAGAAUCUCCCUUACCUUUGCAGAACUUGGGGUUUUUUCCCUUCUCCGGAUUCAAAUGGGUGGGGAGGGAGGGAAAAGGGAGCGUUCGGUUUCUUCUUCAGCUUCCAGAUAAUAUUGUCCCAACCUGAGAGCCGUCGUUUCCCCCUCUCAGACUUGAGAGAGAGGUUGUUUCGCUUUUCUGACAUUUGCAUAGAAAAUGGAGUGAGUUCUGGCUUUGAAAAAUGGUAUCAGGCUUCAGUCCUGGGCAGAUUGUCCAUUUACCCUUCAUGAUGACUAAAAAUCCCAGAUCAGCGAGCAAAUUAACUUAGGAAUCAAAAUUAUUUUUGGUUCUCUCUUUUGUGUGAUUCCCACCCCUCCUUCCCUCGCUCACUCACUUCUCUCUCCUCUCCCCCCUCUCUCUUCCUCUCUCUCUCUCUCUCUUUUGCUCUAUCGAACUGAUAUUGAGGUAUAAAAAUAUCAAGAGGCUGGAGCCCUGAAGGACGACAGUGCUCCGACCUAGGUGUGGUGUCCAAAAGAAUGCUGCAUUAUAACCACCAGGGAGAUGAUAAAAAGUUCAUGUUCACGAUCGCCCGGCCACAUGACCGGCGCCGGCCAAUCGCUGGAUUCAACCACUCAUAAACUUCUAUCACAAAGUUGUAAAUUUUCAUAAAACAACAAGGAAUUUAUUGCAUUUCUUCAUGGCUGCUCCACCAGCAACCCUUUUCCCGGUCGCCAUCUUCUUUUCUUCCCCUUCUCUUUUUAGGGCAACCCCAAUCUGAGGACGGGGUGAGAUUUGGGGUGCAAGAAUUCAGGGUGGAGAAGCCAGAGAGGUCCAGCUAGAACCGGGGUUUUCUCUGGAACCUCCACAUUUUCCUCAAGAGCUCUGCCUGUCUUUUAUAGUAAAAAUCCCCCCCAAAUCUUCCACGUGGAACUCUUCUGAGGCAAUAGGAAGGUGAGGCAGGAGCAGCAGCCGGUGUUGGAUGCUGCUAUCUGCAUCGUGGUAAAAAAGAAAGCUCCUACACCCCCUCUCCCUUCCCGCUCGGAACACCCGCCCCCAUUCCUAACCCUAGAGACUCUGGGAUUCCCCACCUGUGAGGCCCGCAGCCCCGCAGGUGGGGGGGGGGCGUCGGCCCUCGGGGUCUAGUUUUUGCCUCUGGAGGGAAGGUGUCCUGGAUGGGGGCCAAACCUGAUUAGUCUAACAAGCAGAUUCUCCACCCCAGCACCCCAGAAACGGGGGGGGGGGGGGGAGGAAGAAG